This 301-nucleotide ribosomal RNA is filed under the name uncultured bacterium. Its description in RNAcentral is "partial 16S ribosomal RNA". It matches the Rfam family "Bacterial small subunit ribosomal RNA", at positions 509 to 809 of the family's 1533-position model. The record is from RNAcentral.
CAGCAGCCGCGGUAAUACGUAGGUGGCAAGCGUUGUCCGGAAUUAUUGGGCGUAAAGGGCUCGCAGGCGGUUUCUUAAGUCUGAUGUGAAAGCCCCCGGCUCAACCGGGGAGGGUCAAUGGAAACUGGGAAACUUGAGUGCAGAAGAGGAGAGUGGAAUUCCACGUGUAGCGGUGAAAUGCGUAGAGGUGUGGAGGAACACCAGUGGCGAAGGCGACUCUCUGGUCUGUAACUGACACUGAGGAGCGAAAGCGUGGGGAGCGAACAGGAUUAGAUACCCCUGUAGUCCCUGUCUCUUAUAA